Molecule: ribosomal RNA, 481 nt
Filed under: uncultured bacterium
Lineage: Bacteria
Description: partial 16S ribosomal RNA
Rfam family: Bacterial small subunit ribosomal RNA
Source: RNAcentral
AUUGAACGCUGGCGGCAUGCCUUACACAUGCAAGUCGAACGGUAACGGGCCUUCGGGUGCCGACGAGUGGCGCACGGGUGAGUAAUACAUCGGAACGUGCCCGAUCUUGGGGGAUAACGAGGCGAAAGCUUUGCUAAUACCGCAUACGAUCUACGGAUGAAAGCAGGGGACCGCAAGGCCUUGCGCGGACGGAGCGGCCGAUGGCAGAUUAGGUAGUUGGUGGGAUAAAAGCUUACCAAGCCGACGAUCUGUAGCUGGUCUGAGAGGAUGAUCAGCCACACUGGGACUGGGAGACGGACCAGAAUCCUACGGGAGGCAGCAGGGGGGAAUUUUGGACAAUGGGCGCAAGCCUGAUCCAGCCAUGCCGCGUGCAGGAUGAAGGCCUUCGGGUUGUAAACUGCUUUUGUACGGAACGAAAAGCCUUCUUUUAAUACAGGAGGGUCAUGACGGUACCGUAAGAAUAAGCACCGGCUAACUACGU